RNAcentral lists this non-coding RNA (48 nucleotides) under Trypanosoma brucei brucei. Lineage: Eukaryota; Euglenozoa; Kinetoplastea; Trypanosomatida; Trypanosomatidae. The record is from RNAcentral.
AAUUAAUAAACGUAUAAAUGUACAGUGUGACGAUGAAUGAUAUUAUAU